GAGGGGGCGAUGCCUCUCACCCCUUCCCUCCCUCGACCCAGCUCUUCCCCUCUGGGGAUCGGGGCAUCGAGGCCCCUUCCAGUUUGUUCGGGGUUGGGUUCAAGAUAGCCAAGCACAGUUUGGUGCAACUAGGAACCCCACCUCCGGUGGGAACGAUCUACCCGAAAAGAUAUCCUAAAACCUCGGGGCCUUGGCAGCCGCUUACCGGGAAGAAAUCCAUCGGGAGCUGUUGGACGACGGGGUUGUCCUCAAGAUGCUCAGCGAGACCUGGACGUAACCUCCAUGGAAACGGCUCCGCAACGAGCAGCCCGUUCAUUCGUUCUUAUUCAGUCGUGCUUACGGAGGGCUCACCGUCUGCAGAGCACUGUACUAAGCGGUUGGGAGAGUGCAAGAUGACAGCGGGCGCAUUCCCGCCCACGGCGAGCUCGCGGGCCAGAGGGGGAGACAGACGUUAAUAGAAAUAGAUUACAUAAAGGAAGAAAUCAGAUAGAUACAUGAUAUACAGAUAUAUUCAUAACACACCUUCAUACAUACGCGCCGCCCACACGUGGCGCAAGUGGAAAGAAUAAAACUUGUACAAGUGUA
Ornithorhynchus anatinus (platypus) is the source of this 585-nucleotide long non-coding RNA. RefSeq lists it as uncharacterized. Lineage: Eukaryota; Metazoa; Chordata; Mammalia; Monotremata; Ornithorhynchidae. The transcript is spliced from 2 exons. The record is from RefSeq and is a predicted model, not a curated record.